GACGGCCUCACGUUCACUGCUAGGACAUCUGUUGUUGUUCAGCUUUGACUUUCUUGUAAACUAAAAAAAGAAAAAAAACAACUCUUUCCAAGUCUUUAGCUUUCACCACGCUUUUUGUUCUUGAGCUGAAACAAACUUGAAUGGGGAGAAAAAUGAGAAUUUUUUCAGUCAGUAUCUUUCUUGCUUCAAAAAGUAGCUAAUGGCCAUUAUGUUUCCCUUUUUUAGAGACGCGAGUGGAAGAAGUUACUUUCCAGCUCCCACUCCAGCCUAACAUUAAAUGAAACAUUUGAGAAGAGAUAGUUUCAAAGUGGUCAAUGUCACAAGUGAGAUGUAUUAUUACCGCCGUCCCAGGGCAUUGCUGAGGAACACACAAGUAAACAGCAACUAAAAAAGCCACUGUCCUCUCCUAAAAAAGGACAACGUUAGUGAAAAAUAAUUUACUCCUUCUUACUGCUCUAAUUCCUGUGACUUCACAAGCAUCCAGAAACUCCUUCUCAUGCAUGAUCUGGAGGGAUAAGUUAGUCUGGGGUCGGAGGUGGGGCUCUUCCUGUUUUGUACCAGUGCUGGGCCACCAAGCCUCCACCCCCAGUUUUGCACAGAUGGUGUUCAUGGUGGACGGGGACUGAGAACACUGUACAGAAGAAGAUGUUGACAGUGGGAAUUCAGGAGAGCAAUAUACAUAGUAUUUCUGGUUUUGGAAAGUUUCAUCAAAAAAGAAAACUGAAUCACACUACAUCAAAGACAUUGGGAAAACUCUACUGGGUCAAACAAGAAAUCAGCAGAGCACGGGGCCGGUGAGGGUACAGUGGAGACCCAAGUGGAACACAGACCACUGGAAGAAGACCAGCUAACUGCAGGACCAAAAAAAAAUCUGCUUGGCGCCACAAAAUGCAAGAGAACUCUUUCCCCUUUCUGACUACAAAGCUCGCUACUUAAUUGUACAAAUAUUUGUGGGUUUGGCGAAGGCUCCUGGUUUGACAAUGUGUGACAACAUUCAAGUUUCCAAAUGGGUGGGGAUUGAAGAAAUGAGUCUCAAUAAACAAUUUGGGGCAGGCAAACAAUCGA
Long non-coding RNA from Ornithorhynchus anatinus (platypus), 1065 nucleotides. RefSeq lists it as uncharacterized. Lineage: Eukaryota; Metazoa; Chordata; Mammalia; Monotremata; Ornithorhynchidae. The record is from RefSeq and is a predicted model, not a curated record. The transcript is spliced from 6 exons.